Molecule: long non-coding RNA, 380 nt
Organism: Cervus elaphus (red deer)
Lineage: Eukaryota; Metazoa; Chordata; Mammalia; Artiodactyla; Cervidae
Exons: 3
Source: RefSeq, a predicted model, not a curated record
CGGCUCUCCAGUUCACUGCAGUGGCUUCCUGCUUCAUUCCCACCAGCCUGGCCUCUGUAGGCACUUGGGUUUCCAACCUCUGGAAUACAAAGAACCUUAAGGUGCUGAAAAACAAGUAACACAAGGUAUGCUCCCUCAAAACCUGAGGAAUAACUUUUGGAAACCACUUGGGAGCUUCACUCAGGAGGCAUGAAGCAAUCAAGUAUUUAGGACAAAAUUAUGUUUAUUUGUGGCACUCUACAAAAGCUGAAGUUCUACUUUCCAGAACCGAAUCAGGUACCCACUGUCAAGAAUACCCUUGAAGAAGGGAGAGGAUGUAGAGUAUUUACACUGUGCAGAAGAGACAGAAGACAAAGUAAAAGAGAAGUAUUGGAGAAAGC